This 510-nucleotide small RNA is filed under the name Pongo abelii (Sumatran orangutan). Its description in RNAcentral is "processed transcript". The record is from RNAcentral. Lineage: Eukaryota; Metazoa; Chordata; Mammalia; Primates; Hominidae.
UACGCUGGGAGCGGACUCUUGGAGCUAUUGUAAGACAAAAGAAUCACCCAAUGACUCCUGAGGCAGUCAAGGCUAACUGGAAGAAGAUCUGUGACUUUGAGAAUGCCAGCAAGCCUCAGAGUAUCCAAGAAUCAACUGGCAGUAUAAUUGAAGUUCUGAGUAAAAUAGAUUCAGAAGGAGGAGUUUCAGCAAAUCAUACUAGUCGUGCAACGUCUACAGCAACAUCAGGAUUUGCUGGAGCUAUUGGCCAGAAACUCCCUCCAUUUUCUUGUGCUUAUACGGAACUGGAAGCUAUUAUGUAUGCCCUUGGAGUGGGAGCAUCAAUCAAGGAUCCAAAAGAUUUGAAAUUUAUUUAUGAAGGAAGUUCUGAUUUCUCCUGUUUGCCCACCUUCGGAGUUAUCAUAGGUCAGAAAUCUAUGAUGGGUGGAGGAUUAGCAGAAAUUCCUGGACUUUCAAUCAACUUUGCAAAGGUUCUUCAUGGAGAGCAGUACUUAGAGUUAUAUAAACCAC